AUGGGAGCUUUUUACAUUAUUUUUUGGAUGGCAAAUGUUAUUCUUAAAUCAGCAUUUAGACUGCAUGGCCAUCUUUUCUAACUAGAUCUUUGGGUCCAAAACUUAUGCCUCUUCGGCUCCUUCCCAAUGACGAUUUUUUGGGAGAAAUUCGAAAAAUGGACGGGGUUCCCAAUCCCAAAUAUUUAGUUUAGUUGUGAAGAAUAAAGGAGGUCACAAUAAUUCAGCGUGAUUUUGUUUUUAAAGUGUAGUUUUUGUCGAUUCUUGAAGUUCACUAUGAUUUUGUCAAUUUAAACAUGCACGGAUUUAUUCAUUUUUGGUUUACAAUGUUAUCAAUGAAGAUCGAACCUAGUUUUUUUUAUAGGAAAAUGCUUAAUUUUACAAACGCUCUCUCACAAGAAAAAUAAGAAUGACGUGGCGUUUCAAACAUUGGGAAAAUAAUUUUGUUUGAUCCUCACAAUAUUUCUUUCCCCC
RNAcentral lists this long non-coding RNA (471 nucleotides) under Trifolium pratense (red clover). RNAcentral's name for it is "long non-coding RNA (TPRA_LNC006900)". Lineage: Eukaryota; Viridiplantae; Streptophyta; Magnoliopsida; Fabales; Fabaceae. The record is from RNAcentral.